RNAcentral lists this transfer RNA (67 nucleotides) under Himalopsyche malenanda. Its description in RNAcentral is "tRNA-Asn". Lineage: Eukaryota; Metazoa; Arthropoda; Insecta; Trichoptera; Rhyacophilidae. The record is from RNAcentral.
UUAGUUGAAACCAAAAAGAGGUAUAUUACUGUUAAUAAUAAGAUUGAAUUAACAAAUUCCAACUAAA